UACGAAGGGGGCUAGCGUUGCUCGGAAUUACUGGGCGUAAAGGGAGCGUAGGCGGACAGUUUAGUCAGAGGUGAAAGCCCAGGGCUCAACCUUGGAAUUGCCUUUGAUACUGGCUGUCUUGAGUACGGUAGAGGUGUGUGGAACUCCGAGUGUAGAGGUGAAAUUCGUAGAUAUUCGGAAGAACACCAGUGGCGAAGGCGACACACUGGCCCGUUACUGACGCUGAGGCUCGAAGGUGCGGGGAUCAAACAGG
RNAcentral lists this ribosomal RNA (253 nucleotides) under uncultured bacterium. Its description in RNAcentral is "partial 16S ribosomal RNA". It matches the Rfam family "Bacterial small subunit ribosomal RNA", at positions 524 to 776 of the family's 1533-position model. The record is from RNAcentral.